Caenorhabditis elegans is the source of this 1670-nucleotide long non-coding RNA. Ensembl annotates it as ncRNA. Its record names the gene linc-81. The record is from Ensembl. NCBI's taxonomy places the organism in Eukaryota, Metazoa, Nematoda, Chromadorea, Rhabditida, Rhabditidae.
CACGUCACCUGUUGUGCUCUCUCUGUGCUCCAAAUUGAUGAUGAGCCAACAUCCAACAAGAGGGGAACAUUCAGAACCAAUUGAGAGAGAAAGGGCGAGACGCAGACAGAGAAAGACGAGUGCUCAAUGCAGAAGAAGAGAGCACUGCUCCUCAACAUUUUAUAUACACAUCAGAAACGUCAUUUCUAGUUUUGGACAAUUUAUAAACUAAACAAUUUUUCGAGUUUUACUUGAUUUCUGGUAAAUGUAAUCAAUAAGUUUAUUUUUUGACGCUGCUAAGCCUAAUUUUGAGCCCCUUCAACCUAUAAAAUCAUAAUUUUUGUGCUCCGAUCAGGCUUUUAGCUGUGACAAUCUGAAAAUUCAGGCCCGGAAGCCUAGUUUCAGGCCUUUAAGCCUAACAAUUGAACUUUUUUGUGGCUUCUGUGCCUCUACUCGAAUUGGUGGUACAAAUCCGGUAUUCUCGGCUGAAAAUGCAAUAAAUACCGCGUUUUUUACCAACAAUUCGCGAUAGAGCGCAUUUGCCACCGGAGAUGCGGAAGCUAUGCCCAAAUUUUCAUUUUUAACUCAACAAGUUUUCCAAAAAAUCGAUAAAAUUCAAUUUUUUCAAGUAUUGAGAAUUGCCAGAACAAUUUAUAUAAUUAUCACGAGAAGUUUCUUUUAAUUUUUUUUUUUAAACUUCCGCUUCAGUGUUCAUAAUUAAUAUUAGCGUUAGUAGUAUUACAAUAUUCUAAAAAAAAAAACAAAAAAUUUUUUUUUUGAAAAUAUAAAAUUUUUUUUUUUGAAAAUAUUUUUGUCUCUAUAUAAUAUUAGCGUUAGUAGUAUUACAAUAUUCUAAAAAAAAACAAAAAAAUUUUUUUUUUUGAAAAUAUGUCUUUAUUAGUCUAAUGUUAUAUUAGCGUUAGUAACAUUAAUCAUUUUUUUGGAAAAAUUCCAUUUUUUUUUUGAAAAUCUUUUAUUUAUCUAAUUGUGAGUGUUAUAUUAGUUAUAUUAGCGUUAGUAAUUAGUAUUAUUAAAAAUUUCUGAAAAAUUAUUUUUUUAAAAAUAUGUUUGUCUCAAUAUAAUAUUAGCGUUAAUAUGUAGUAAGUAAGGAUUUUUCCAAAUUUUUUUUCCGAUUUCAUUAAUAUAAAUUUUCUGGAAAGUUUUUGUUUGAAAUUAAUUUCGUCUCUAUCUAAUCUCUAUCUAAAGUAUGUAGUAUUAAUAAGAAAAUUUUUUCGAGUUUUUUGAAAAAAACGUCAUUAUUAAUUUAAUGUUAUACUAACGUUAGUAGCAUUAAUCAUUUUUGGAAAAAAUAUCGUUUUUUUUUGAAAAACUAUUAUUUGUUAAUCGAAUUUGUUAUUAGCGUUAACUAAUGAGUAUUAGUACUAGAAAUAUGAAAAACUUUUUUUUUCUGAAUUUUUUGAAAAAAACAUUUUUUAAUUUUAUUAAUGUUGUUGAUAUUAGCGUUAGUAGUAUUAAGAAUUUCUGGAAAAAAUCGAUUUUUUUUAAAAUUUUCUUGAAAACUUUAAUGUAAUAUUAUAUUAGUGUUAGUAUGUAAAAUAUAUAUUUUUUUGAAAAAAAAUUUUUCUCGAUUUUUUUCUCAAUUUUAGUUUUUUUUUUUCAAAUUGUUAUAUACAUUAUUGAUUUUUUGUUGUUUUCUCUGAUACAUUUUUUCUGAUAAAUCCGUUUUUUUU